Long non-coding RNA from Ornithodoros turicata, 167 nucleotides. RefSeq lists it as uncharacterized. The record is from RefSeq and is a predicted model, not a curated record. The transcript is spliced from 3 exons. NCBI's taxonomy places the organism in Eukaryota, Metazoa, Arthropoda, Arachnida, Ixodida, Argasidae.
ACGACGUGGGAAGGUCACAGAAAUGUUGAAAGACAUCAGAUUGGGCAUACGCUUCACCCGUGCAACUUCGUCAUGUGCUCCACGGCAGCACAAGCCUUUACGGCUGUGCCACUAUGUGUGGAAACGUCGUAGCGGAUGAAUGUGAAUUAUGGAUCUCCAAGUGGCGU